This 1173-nucleotide long non-coding RNA is filed under the name Ursus maritimus (polar bear). RNAcentral's name for it is "lncRNA (ENSUMAG00000015179.1)". Lineage: Eukaryota; Metazoa; Chordata; Mammalia; Carnivora; Ursidae. The record is from RNAcentral.
UGGGACCACAACCCAGACUGGGGGCCCUGACCUUGCCUGGCCAUUAGGGAAAAUCGGGGCAGCAUCUCUGAGGGCUCAGUCUCUACAGUGUCUGCUUGAGAGAGAAAGAGCAAGAGGGAGUGAGCGAAAGAGGUCAUUUACAAUUCUGCCAUUCAUAAAUUUGUCCAAAGCUUUUUGGAAGGCAUUUAUAGUUCCUGCCAGCACUACCUCUUGGGGGUGAUGAAUUCCAAUAAGUUCCAAUCCGUUUAUUACUCACUGUGAGAGAAAUUGCUUCCUUUUAUGUCUGGAACUAAACCUGGGUCACGUUUCAUAGGAUAUCUCCUAGUCACAGCGUUUUGGAAUUCGGUGAGUAAGUCUGUGCCCCAUGCAUCCUCAAGAUUCUUCCCUUCCCUUCUGGCCUUCAGACUGAAGACCCUAACCUUUCAGCCUGUCUGAUAUUCCCAUUUUAUUUCUCCUUCUCUGAAUCUCCUUCUCCUUGCCAUAUCUUUUUAGAUUGUGGUGGUCAGCACAUCCUCAAUCAUCCUGUUUCACAAGAAGACACAAAAGCUGCUUUGCAUAAAGGAAGACUUGUUGCUUUCUGUCUUGGAGAGCACAGCAUGGGAGCACAAGAUAACUGACAGAGAAGCACUCCGGGGCAGGGCCGCCUGCUUCUGAAGCAUCUUUAUACUGCUAUGGCCUCACUUACCGUCUGUGACAUGAUCGAUGCUCGCAGGAUGGAUGCCUGUUACCAAGUGAAUGAAGAUCCUGAGUGCUGGUAUCCGAGUUUCCAGAAAUCUUCUGAGUGGUGCUACCUGAAAUGGAACAGCUCGGGGGCUGUUUUGUGGGACACUCAAGUGGGACUUAUGUGCUACAGGGAUCCCCCCACUUUUCAAAACUCUGAGUUAGGCCGCUUCGCUUUUAAGAAAGACCCCUGGAAGGACCUGUUUUCACUAGCUGAAAGAAAUCCAAGGACGAUUUUCACCUUUACGAAAGAAGGAUGCAGAGAGCCCAAGAAGAGAGUGAAGACAAGACUCAGCAUCAGCUCAACAGCAAGACGUCUAUCUAGUGCCUGUCAUUCCCCCACCUGUACUGUUCGCCCAUCCAUCUGUCCAUCCAUCCAUCCAUCCAUCCAUCCAACAUUCAGUAAGUAUUUCCUAUGCACAAGGCACCAAUGAGAACCAAAUCUUGCCCUCG